AAGACUAUACUUUCAGGGAUCAUUUCUGUAGUUUGUUACUAGAGAAGUUUCUCUGGACGCGUAGAGCACCAGAAGCCACAUGGAGGAGGCGCAGGUUCUCUCCUGGGCGUGAAACAGCUCUUGGUGCUGUUUCAGAGCGACUGCCAUUUGCCAUGGAGGCUCGUUCUUCUCUCCCUCUGGGGGAGUAAGAGGGAGAGGACGCAGUCUGAGUGGU
RNAcentral lists this small nucleolar RNA (214 nucleotides) under Propithecus coquereli (Coquerel's sifaka). Its description in RNAcentral is "Small nucleolar RNA U3 (ENSPCOG00000010140.1)". It matches the Rfam family "Small nucleolar RNA U3". From Rfam's summary of the family: Small nucleolar RNAs (snoRNAs) are involved in the processing and modification of rRNA in the nucleolus. There are two main classes of snoRNAs: the box C/D class, and the box H/ACA class. U3 snoRNA is a member of the box C/D class. Lineage: Eukaryota; Metazoa; Chordata; Mammalia; Primates; Indriidae. The record is from Rfam by way of RNAcentral.